AGCUCUGUAAGCGUAUACCAAAGUUGUUGCAGUUAAAACGCUCGUAGUCGGAACUUGGCCGUGUCGGAUGUGUGCACGUCGUGUGCGCGCAUUGCAGAUAUGGCUUUUGUGGUUUUUGCGUACGAUGAGGCACGUUUAUUCGUGAACGUCGUAUCGCAGCCACUCUUUACUGUGAGAAAAUCAGAGUGCUCAAAGCAGGCAUUUGCCGUGAAUGUAUUAGCAUGGAAUAAUAGAAUAGGACUUGGUUCUAUUUUGUUGGUUUGUUGGGACUGAGUAAUGAUUAAGAGGGACAGUUGGGGGCAUUUGUAUUUCGGCGCUAGAGGUGAAAUUCUUAGAUUGCCGAAAGACAAACUGCUGCGAAAGCGUCUGCCAAGGAUGUUUUCAUUGAUCAAGAACGAAA
Molecule: ribosomal RNA, 400 nt
Filed under: phytoplankton environmental sample
Lineage: Eukaryota
Description: partial small subunit ribosomal RNA
Rfam family: Eukaryotic small subunit ribosomal RNA
Source: RNAcentral